CUGAUUGAGCUGCAUGAUGAAGAUGACCGCGGACGGGUGAUAACGCUGGGUAACCUGCCCUAUACACAUGGAUAACAUACUGAAAAGUUUACUAAUACAUGAUAAUAUAUAUUUACGGCAUCGUAGAUAUAUCAAAGUGUUAGCGGUAUAGGAUGGACCCGCGUCUGAUUAGCUAGUUGGUGAGAUAACUGCCCACCAAGGCGACGAUCAGUAGCCGACCUGAGAGAGUGUACGGCCACAUUGGGACUGAGACACGGCCCAAACUCCUACGGGAGGCAGCAGUGGGGAAUUUUGCACAAUGGGGGAAACCCUGAUGCAGCGACGCCGCGUGAUUUAGAAGGCCUUCGGGUUGUAAAAAUCUUUUUUAUGGGAUGAAAAUGACAGUACCAUAAGAAUAAGGUCCGGCUAAAUACGUGCCAGCAGCCGCGGUAAUACGUAUGGACCGAGCGUUGUCCGGAAUCAUUGGGCGUAAAGGGUACGUAGGCGGCCCAGUAAGUUAGAAGUGAAAUAAUAUAGCUCAACUAUAUAAAGCUUUUAAAACUGCUAGGCUUGAGAGAUGGAAGGGAAAGUGGAACUCCUAGUGUAGCGGUGAAAUGCGCAGAUAUUAGGAAGAAUACCGGUGGCGAAGGCGACUUUCUAGAAUCUAACUGACGCUGAGAUACGAAGGCGUGGGUAGCAAACAGGAUUAGAUACCCUGGUAGUCCACGCAGUAAACGAUGAGUGCUAGUUGUUGGGAGUCAAAUCUCAGUGGCGCAGCUAACGCAUUAAGCACUCCGCCUGGGGAGUACGUACG
Molecule: ribosomal RNA, 793 nt
Filed under: uncultured Clostridia bacterium
Lineage: Bacteria; Bacillati; Bacillota; Clostridia
Description: bacterial SSU rRNA
Rfam family: Bacterial small subunit ribosomal RNA
Source: RNAcentral